RNAcentral lists this ribosomal RNA (484 nucleotides) under uncultured bacterium. Its description in RNAcentral is "partial 16S ribosomal RNA". It matches the Rfam family "Bacterial small subunit ribosomal RNA", at positions 30 to 507 of the family's 1533-position model. The record is from RNAcentral.
AUUGAACGCUGGCGGCAGGCCUAACACAUGCAAGUCGAGCGGAUGAAGGGAGCUUGCUCCUGGAUUCAGCGGCGGACGGGUGAGUAAUGCCUAGGAAUCUGCCUGGUAGUGGGGGAUAACGUCCGGAAACGGGCGCUAAUACCGCAUACGUCCUGAGGGAGAAAGUGGGGGAUCUUCGGACCUCACGCUAUCAUAUGAGCCUAGGUCGUAUUAGAUAGUUGGUGGGGUAAAGGCCUACCAAGGCGACGAUCCGUAACUGGUCUGAGAGGAUGAUCAGUCACACUGGAACUGAGACACGGUCCAGACUCCUACGGGAGGCAGCAGUGGGGAAUAUUGGACAAUGGGCGAAAGCAUGAUCCAGCCAUGCCGCGUGUGUGAAGAAGGUCUUCGGAUUGUAAAGCACUUUAAGUUGGGAGGAAGGGCAGUAAGUUAAUACCUUGCUGUUUUGACGUUACCAACAGAAUAAGCACCGGCUAACUUCGUG